CUAGAGUCAUGUUUGCGAGAGAUAUCUAUAAAUGGGCGAGAGGGUGGUAGCCUUAAGGMAAUUUCUUGGAGGAAAGUAGUUGAGACGUUAGAAAAGACACAUAAUUUUAUUGUGGACCAAAGACAAAUGAAAAACCAUUACGACUACCUCAAAGGCAAAUAUGGAGCUUGGUCAAAACUGAAAAACAAAACUGGAAAUAUUUAUGAUGCGUCUACGAACUCUUUUAAGCUGUCUGAAGAGGAAUGGCAAAUGGAAACAAAGUCCAAUAAAUAUGUUGAAAAGUUGAGGACUGCACCACUACCAUUUCCAGAUCUUUGUGUUCAACUUUUUGACGGAGUUGCUUCCACGGGCGUUAGAAGUUGGGGGCCGACCUCUUUUGUUCCUAAUCCUACAUGCAUUGCUCCCCAAACACAAGAAACACAAAGUUCAAAAACAUUGUCUACACGUGUUGCUCCUCAAAUACAAGAAACACAAGAGCAAUAAAGUUCAACAUUGCCUUCGGUACAAGAGUCUUCUUCGCGUUCUCAAUCUCAAAGAAAAAAACGAAAAAGUGUUCAACCAAGCAGUUCAGUGAAUGAAGAGGAGGUGUCUAAGAUUGUCACUUCUGUGCAAAAUGCUUUGGACAAACAACCCACGGAAUCUGAGGUGGGUGCUUGCAUUGAGAAACUGGAGAAAUUUGGGUGGGGAAGCCCGUUGUAUGAGGCAACACUUCAUYUUUUUAGCCUAGGCCCUGAUUAUAAGAAGAUUUGGUUGUGUUUGAAGGAGGAUAAGUGUGAGGGUUGGGUUAGGUUCACGGGACGUCAACUUGGGUUUAUAUAAUUAUUGCAGCGUUUGUUUAGACAUUAGAAGAAUAUACUUUUAUGCGCUCUUUUGAAACCUUAGAUGGUUKAUAUGCGUAUUAAACUUUUUGAUGCACUCUUUUGAAACCUUAGAURGUUUGAAUGAACACUAGAUAUUAUGAUGCGCUCUUUUGAAGUUUUAAA
Molecule: long non-coding RNA, 983 nt
Organism: Cynara cardunculus var. scolymus (artichoke)
Lineage: Eukaryota; Viridiplantae; Streptophyta; Magnoliopsida; Asterales; Asteraceae
Exons: 2
Source: RefSeq, a predicted model, not a curated record